CUUUAAAAAAAUAUUUUAAAACAGAAAUAAAUUUUAAAAAUUUGAUAAGUAUAUUCUUUUUCCAAAAGUUAUAAAAAAAUAAAUUUAAAAAACAUAUAUCUAAAAUUUCUCAAAAAAUUGUAUAAAAAUAUAAACAAAAUUACAAUAAGAAUUCUAAAAAUAUAAAUAAAUAUUAAAAAUAAAAAAGUCUACUCCACAAUUUCCUUCUUUUAAA
RNAcentral lists this long non-coding RNA (214 nucleotides) under Gossypium raimondii (Peruvian cotton). RNAcentral's name for it is "long non-coding RNA (GRAI_LNC009872)". Lineage: Eukaryota; Viridiplantae; Streptophyta; Magnoliopsida; Malvales; Malvaceae. The record is from RNAcentral.